This 279-nucleotide ribosomal RNA is filed under the name uncultured bacterium. RNAcentral describes it as "partial 16S ribosomal RNA". It matches the Rfam family "Bacterial small subunit ribosomal RNA", at positions 506 to 784 of the family's 1533-position model. The record is from RNAcentral.
UGCCAGCCGCCGCGGUAAUACAGAGGGUGCGAGCGUUAAUCGGAAUUACUGGGCGUAAAGGGUGCGUAGGUGGAUAUGAAGGUCGGGUGUGAAAUCCCCAGGCUCAACCUGGGAAUUGCAUUCGAAACUUCAUGUCUAGAGUAUAGUAGAGGGAAGUGGAAUUUCCGGUGUAGCGGUGAAAUGCGUAGAUAUCGGAAGGAACAUCAGUGGCGAAGGCGACUUCCUGGACUAAUACUGACACUGAGGCACGAAAGCGUGGGUAGCGAACAGGAUUAGAUA